Molecule: ribosomal RNA, 829 nt
Filed under: uncultured archaeon
Lineage: Archaea
Description: bacterial SSU rRNA
Rfam family: Archaeal small subunit ribosomal RNA
Source: RNAcentral
UGACUAAGCCAUGCAAGUCGAGAGGGUUCGGCCCUCGGCGUACUGCUCAGUAACACGUGGAUAACCUGCCCUAAGGAAGGGGAUACCCCCGGGAAACUGGGUAUAAUACCCUAUAGAUUACAGAUGCUGGAAUGCCCUGUAAUCGAAAGUUCCGACGCCUUAGGAUGGAUCUGCGGCCGAUUAGGUUGUUGUCGGGGUAAUGGCCCAACAAGCCAGUGAUCGGUACGGGUUGUGGGAGCAAGAGCCCGGAGUUGGAUUCUGAGACACGAAUCCAGGCCCUACGGGGCGCAGCAGGCGCGAAAACUUUACAAUGCGGGCAACCGUGAUAAGGGAACCUCGAGUGCCUGUAUAUGCAGGCUGUCCAGGUGUCUAAAACACACCUGAAGAAAGGGCCGGGCAAGACCGGUGCCAGCCGCCGCGGUAAUACCGGCGGCUCGAGUGGUGGCCGCUUUUAUUGGGCUUAAAGCGUUCGUAGCUGGGUCGUUAAGUCUCUUGGGAAAUCCGGCAGCUCAACUGUCGGGCGUCUAAGAGAUACUGGCGAUCUUGGAACCGGGAGAGGUGAGGGGUACUUCGGGGGUAGGAGUGAAAUCCUGUAAUCCUCGAGGGACCACCUGUGGCGAAGGCGCCUCACCAGAACGGCUUCGACAGUGAGGGACGAAAGCUGGGGGAGCAAACCGGAUUAGAUACCCGGGUAGUCCCAGCCGUAAACGAUGUGCGUUAGGUGUAUCAACGACCACGAGUCGUUGAGGUGCCGAAGGGAAACCGUGAAACGUACCGCCUGGGAAGUACGGUCGCAAGGCUGAAACUUAAAGGAAUUGGCGGGGGAGCA